This 796-nucleotide ribosomal RNA is filed under the name uncultured Pelagibacteraceae bacterium. Its description in RNAcentral is "bacterial SSU rRNA". It matches the Rfam family "Bacterial small subunit ribosomal RNA", at positions 45 to 889 of the family's 1533-position model. The record is from RNAcentral. Lineage: Bacteria; Pseudomonadati; Pseudomonadota; Alphaproteobacteria; Candidatus Pelagibacterales; Candidatus Pelagibacteraceae.
CGCCUAACACAUGCAAGUCGAACGAAGUAGCAAUACUUAGUGGCAGACGGGUGAGUAACAUGUAGGUAUCUGCCCUUUGGCCUGGAAUAACACGAGGAAACUUGUGCUAAUACCGGAUAAGUCUUUACGGAGAAAGCUUUAUGCACCAUUGGAUGAGCCUGCACUUGAUUAGUUUGUUGGUAGGGUAAUGGCCUACCAAGACUUUGAUCAAUAGCUGAUUUGAGAGGAUGAUCAGCCACAUUGGGACUGAGACACGGCCCAAACUCCUACGGGAGGCAGCAGUGGGGAAUCUUGCACAAUGGAGGAAACUCUGAUGCAGCGAUGCCGCGUGAGUGAAGAAGGCCUUUGGGUUGUAAAGCUCUUUCGUCGGGGAAGAAAAUGACUGUACCCGAAUAAGAAGGUCCGGCUAACUUCGUGCCAGCAGCCGCGGUAAUACGAAGGGACCUAGCGUAGUUCGGAAUUACUGGGCUUAAAGAGUUCGUAGGUGGUUGAAAAAGUUGGUGGUGAAAUCCCAGAGCUUAACUCUGGAACUGCCAUCAAAACUUUUCAGCUAGAGUUUGAUAGAGGAAAGCAGAAUUUCUAGUGUAGAGGUGAAAUUCGUAGAUAUUAGAAAGAAUACCAAUUGCGAAGGCAGCUUUCUGGAUCAUUACUGACACUGAGGAACGAAAGCAUGGGUAGCGAAGAGGAUUAGAUACCCUCGUAGUCCAUGCCGUAAACGAUGUGUGUUAGACGUUGGAAAUUUAUUUUCAGUGUCGCAGCGAAAGCGAUAAACACACCGCCUGGGGAGUACGACCGC